GCACAAGCGGUGGAGCAUGUGGUUAAUUCGAAGCAACGCGAAGAACCUUACCAGGUCUUGACAUCCCUGACAACCAAGAGAUUGGGCGUUCCCCUUCGGGGGACAGGGUGACAGGUGGUGCAUGGUUGUCGUCAGCUCGUGUCGUGAGAUGUUGGGUUAAGUCCCGCAACGAGCGCAACCCUCGCCUCUAGUUGCCAGCAUUCGGUUGGGCACUCUAGAGGGACUGCCGGCGACAAGUCGGAGGAAGGUGGGGAUGACGUCAAAUCAUCAUGCCCCUUAUGACCUGGGCUACACACGUGCUACAAUGGGCGGUACAAAGGGCUGCGAACCCGCGAGGGGGAGCCAAUCCCAAAAAGCCGCUCUCAGUUCGGAUUGCAGGCUGCAACUCGCCUGCAUGAAGCCGGAAUCGCUAGUAAUCGCGGAUCAGCAUGUCACGGUGAAUACGUUCCCGGGUCUU
Molecule: ribosomal RNA, 457 nt
Filed under: uncultured Geobacillus sp.
Lineage: Bacteria; Bacillati; Bacillota; Bacilli; Caryophanales; Anoxybacillaceae
Description: bacterial SSU rRNA
Rfam family: Bacterial small subunit ribosomal RNA
Source: RNAcentral